CAAAAAUGUAGACGAGCUUUUUAAAGC
RNAcentral lists this non-coding RNA (27 nucleotides) under Cricetulus griseus (Chinese hamster). The record is from RNAcentral. Lineage: Eukaryota; Metazoa; Chordata; Mammalia; Rodentia; Cricetidae.